This 397-nucleotide ribosomal RNA is filed under the name uncultured bacterium. RNAcentral describes it as "partial 16S ribosomal RNA". It matches the Rfam family "Bacterial small subunit ribosomal RNA", at positions 523 to 918 of the family's 1533-position model. The record is from RNAcentral.
AUACGAAGGGGGCGCGCGUUGUCCGGAAUGAUUGGGCGUAAAGGGCGCGUAGGCGGCCCGGUACGUCUGGAGGGACAGUCCUGUUUUUAAGAUGGGAAUUGCUUUGGAUACUGUCGGGCUUGAGUGCCGGAGAGGUCAGUGGAAUUCCCAGUGUAGCGGUGAAAUGCGUAGAGAUUGGGAGGAACACCAGUGGCGAAGGCGACUUACUGGACUGUAACUGACGCUGAGGCGCGAAAGUGUGGGGAGCAAACAGGAUUAGAUACCCUGGUAGUCCACACUGUAAACGAUGAAUGCUAGGUGUAGGGGGUAUCGACCCCUUCUGUGCCGCAGUCAACACAAUAAGCAUUCCGCCUGGGGAGUACGGCCGCAAGGUUGAAACUCAAAGGAAUUGACGGGG